This 253-nucleotide ribosomal RNA is filed under the name uncultured bacterium. Its description in RNAcentral is "partial 16S ribosomal RNA". It matches the Rfam family "Archaeal small subunit ribosomal RNA", at positions 474 to 727 of the family's 1478-position model. The record is from RNAcentral.
UACCAGCUCUCCGAGUGGUGUGGAUGUUUAUUGGGCCUAAAGCAUCCGUAGCUGGCUGAGUUAGUCCCCUGUUAAAUCCACCGAAUCAAUCGUUGGAUUGCGGGGGAUACUGCUCGGCUAGGGGACGGGAGAGGCAGACGGUAUUUCCGGGGUAAGGGUGAAAUCUUAUAAUCCCGGGAAGACCACCAGUGGCGAAGGCUGUCUGCUAGAACGCGCCCGACGGUGAGGGAUGAAAGCUGGGGUAGCGAACCGG